UUUUUUUUUUUUUUUUUUUUUUAAGUAUUCUACACUUUAGUGUUAACCAACAUCUCCACUACCCCCAUCCCCAUGGGACACUGAACUCCAACUGUCAAUAUAAGCAAACUGACAGUGUCCCCACAGAAGCAUGACCGUCACUUUGGGCAAGAGUUUAGGCAGUUUGGCAGCUUUUAAAGGCCUCAUUUUGAACAAGCAGAGAACUCUUCUGGAAGGAUUUAAAACCAUGCUAUAUAAGUUGCAAUUAGUGGCUUCCCACAAAUUAUAUAUCACUCCAGCAAGUACAAUCUUCCUCAAGUGUUUGUUCGCUGGUUCAUGGGAUUGGACUUCAUUGUUCUACUGUGGUCAAAUAUAUUUCUCUUCCCCUUUUAUUCCCACUCACUUUGUACUUAACAUCCCAGGUGUGCACCUAGCUGGGUGUUUACAAGGCCCUCAACUAGGGACACACAAAAUAAUCUCAUAGGUGGCCUUCAAAAAUAUUUUAUUUUCUUGGCAGAAAUAGUUUUCCACUUCAUUUUUGGUCUAUAGGUUACACUUAACCAACACUGGUUCAUCACAUUUAUUAUAGCAAAUAAAAGAUGAACAUAAAUUAGUUACAUACAUGCAUAUAUUCUUGAGGCAGAAAACACUUUCAGUUCACCAAUGCAUAGGCAGACACAGUGAAUUCAUACCAUUGACUGGGGGGAUAAUUUUGUCAAAGGCCUUUUGCCACUGUUAAACAGGUUCUGGGGAGACUUCAAAAGAAAAUUGUUUAGCAAAGGCAAACAAUGUUUGAUGAUUUCAAGAAAGUAGCUGAUUUGACAUAACAUUAGCAUUCAGGUGGAAACUAAAUGUAUUGUAAUAGGCGACCCCCAAAUGGAGGCUGUCCAACCAGUGACAUCAGCUAGGAAUCUAUUUAGGCAUAGUGCAGGUGUCAGUUAUAUGUGUGACAACAUUGUAUGGUUGAAAAAUAGAGCAUGACAGAUAUUUAGAAGGCUUAGACCCUGCCUGGCUUUGCCACUUUUCAACUCUCUGAUAAAUCACUUGAGUGUACCAGGUCUCCUUAUUUGUGGAAGGAAGGAAUUAGAUUAUCUGUAAAUUUCCUUCUUUCAUAAAUGCACAUUCUCUGGAUUCAAAUUCCAGAUCGCUUUCUAAUUCUAUGUCUUGGGACACCACUAUUUAACUUCUGGACCGUAGUUUCCGAUAUCCUAAAAUGAAAAUAAUAAUGAAUGUCUAUUUAAUGACUUUGAAGAUUAAUUGAGAUAAUAUAUGUGGAAAUUUCUAGGAAAGAGUCAGACACCUAGUAGAUCUUUCAUUACAUGUGCAGGAGCCUUCACAAUGACUUAGAAAAGUAAAUAAUUUUUCUUGAAAGUGGCAUCUGGGUGCCAGGCCAGCAAAUGGUUUCUCAUGGCUAGCCUGAGAAAUUUGAAAAAAUUAGCAGAGGAGUGAAAGUUCUGAAUAAAGAAGAGAAGGUGAGGUUUAAAACCUUGCCUUGGCAGCCACCUAGUAACCAAAGCAGCAGCAAAUUGGUUGUUGACAAGGCUAGUUCAUAAGGGAACUACAGUAGGAGAAAGAGGACUUUACAUGAAGAUCUAAAAGGUGCAGGGAUUGUGGGCACAAUUUCAUUGGUUUCUAGUUUGUGCACCUUAUCUUCUUACAGAGACACUCAGUAAAGAGCCUCGUGUGAGGGGAGGGUCAUGGCAUUAGAGUCAGACAUUGCGGCAGAGAUAACUAGCUUUCUGUCAAAAAGGCACACUCUUCCUUGCAUGGUGUGGCAUGAGUGCAAGAAUGAGGCUGCCCAUCCAGGGCCUACACUUCUCACCUCCGUGUUCACAUACAGCCACAUGGCCUGCCUUCAACAAUAACAUGUAUAUAGAAAGGAUCUGUGACACUUCUGGGCUGGGUUUUUAAGCAGUGGAGCUUACCUUCUACCCUCUUUCCUCUCUUUGCAUCAGCUGUCAGAUACAGAUGUACCAAGGCCUUAGGAAAAAAGUGAAACUACAGAUGACAAGGUCCCAAAGUCACCAAGCGCUCCACAUCCGGGAAAGCUGUCUUUGAAUCAAGAACGUUCAUGUGCUUUGACAUGAGUGAGAAGUACAUUUCUGUUAUGGUUAAGUGACAGAAAUAUCAAGAUUUAUUAGUUUUUCCUGCAAGAAGGAUGUAAUAACAUAGCAAUGUGGGUGGGCCUCAAACACAUUAUGCUGGGAGAAGAAAAGCCUUAUGUAAAAGCGAUAUAGGCUACAUUAUUACAUUCACAUGAUAUUCUAGAACAGGCUAAACUAAUGGGAAAAUAUCAGAAUGCUUAUUAUCUCUGGAGGGAUGGAGUGGGGUUUGACUGGAAAGAGGCAACUUUCUGGAGUGAUUUUAAUGUUCUAUAUAAUAAAAGGGAUCACGUGGUUAGUAGAUGAACUACUAAAAGUGAGAGAGAUUAAGAGUAAAUAGACCAAUUUUUCACUCUAAGAAUGAAAUUCUUGUGUGAUUUGAAUUCAGCUCUGACUCACUCUAAAUCCUUCUUGCUUCUGCUCUCUCAUGCCUGUACUAGAAAUUAGUGGGUAGAACAUUCAAGUGACUUGAUAUGAAUUAUUAGAAGACAGAUUCGGGGGAAAAAAGAACUGUGAGCGUUUGAAUUCCAACGACAAGCCAGGUAAAAAUCAUACAAAGCUUCAACAAUGUACAGCUAAUUAGCUCUAAUGCUUAGAUCUAAUGUGGGGUUUCUGAGGGUGGUGACAUUCAUAGAUGACUAAUUAACCUGGGCAGCAAAUCUAUUUCAUUUACUGCCAUGACAUAGCCAAUCAAGACUGGCUUACUGUUUGCUCAUUUGGAAAAUGAUUAAGAUUCCCAUUUAGACUUAAUUGCAGUGCAAAGGUUGACAAUUAUCUUCUCUAUAGAAGCAUCAGGUGCUUCAAUAUCUCAGUGAACACGUGACUAUAAUUACGUACAUAAUUUGUCUAGCAGAAAAUGUAACCCAGUCAUUACCUGGAUCUUAUGCCUGUAAUUAGGGAUCAUAAAAGUACCAAAUGGGAAAACUGGGUUGGUGGGAAGUUAGGACUCUUACAGUAUAAGAAUCUAUGUGGAGCUUUUAGCGGGAACUCAGUAGCAACCAACAUCUCUUGGAUAACUGCCCUCUAGUCAAAAUAAUUAGGAAAUGUGAGAGAAAGGUGAAAAUCAUGGUACAGUGAAAGCAAAAUACAAUUGCUCUUCUACGACUUGACAGCAAUCAUUAAAAGUCCUAUGGGCACCUCAAAUUCAACACAACUAAAACAAAAUUCAUUAACCACCCUCUGCCCCUUCUCUGACAUGUCCUUAGAUAAUGGUUAGACAUUCAAGAACCAUCUUUAACAAUUCUUAUCUAUCUCUUUCCCUGCAGUCAAGGGAUGUAAUUCUAUUCAGUAAAUGUUCCACUCUUCAUUAUGCAACACUUCCAUACUUCUGCCUUCAUUACUGCUGUAGGUUAGCUUUAAGGGGAAAUACAAAUGAUCUGCCUUCCUCUAGUUUCUCUCCUCUGUUGCUCAUCCUCCACAUUUUCUCCAGAAUGACCAUAGCAAAUCACAAAUUGAAUUGUAUUAAUUCUGCCAUUCAGGAGAGUCCAGAAUGUCCACCCUUUCCUAAACAACAUUUACAAGGGCACACCAAGCAUUUUAUACUUUAGGUUCUAUGCCAGUUUUGCGCUCCCGCCCCUUGCUUCAAUUUAGCAAAAGACUUCAUCAGAUGACUUACUGAAUAUGUAAUGGAAUAUGCUCAUUAUUUUUACCUCUUGCACUAUAGCCAACUACCCCCAAAUUCAGCAACUAAAGGUGAUCAUUUUAAUUUUACUCAUGAUAUGGUGAGUUAAGAAUGCAGAAAUGAUUUGAAUGGGUAAUCAUUUCCGAUCAGCAUUGCAUUGGCUGGGGUGGAAGAAUCUUCUUCCAAGAUAGCAUCUUUGCUCAUGUUCUGGUGUUUCAGAGCUUCUUGGCCUCUCUCAUGUGGCUUCCAGUUUUUCAGAGUCUCUCCCCUUGGCUUAUCUGCUUGCAGCAUGGAUAUUUAAAGGAAGUUUCACUUUUUUCGUAGGGGCUGGAUUCAGAGAGACAUGCACUAGAAACUGUGCAGCUAGGCAAGAACUAUGACAGAAAGUGGCAUGGCAACAUGUCUACUACAAUUUUUUGGCAAAAAUAGUCAUGAGGGCCCUCAGAUUGAAGGAGGUAGAGAAAUAAACCCCACCUCUAAAUAGGUAGAUGCCAAGGUUACACUGUAGAAGAGGACAUAUAUUUUUAUGCUUAUUUCUUAAAAAUAAAAUCUUCCACACACACUAUUUCUUCCUUCUGACUUGCCAAUCAUUCCUAUUUAAUUCAACUCCUACCUGCCUUUUAAGACUAACUACAGUGUUAGUUGCUCAACUUUGCUGUACAUAAUACAAAUAAAACAAAUCUCUUUUGCUACAAAACCCUUCUAAUAUUUGGUUCAAGCCUCUUUUAUACCAAAGUGGAACAUCAUUGUCUGUGACUUACAUAUUUAUCUCUCCAGUAAGAAUGUGAGUAUGAGGUCUUAUUUAAUGUAUAAUCUCUUGAAUAUAAACAUAGAUCCUGGUAUAUAGUAGAUGCUUGAUAAAUGUUCUAUUGAUCAUGAAAUCAAAUGAAGGGAUGAUUCCAUUGAUAAAUAUAGUACCUUUGCUUAGUGUACUCCCUAGAACAAGUUUAGAACCUGUAGUUACAAGCCUCCAAGAUGGCCCAAGUGAUCUCCAUUUCCUGCCAUUUUUAUUCUUGUAUAGUCCCUUCCAAUGCUGCACUAGAGUUAAUCUAUGCGACCAUUAGAAAAUAGCAGAAGAGAUGAUAUUACACAUCUGAGAAUGGGUUAUUAAAGACACUGCAGUCUCCAUCUCUCUGUCUCUGUCUCUCUCUAUGCCCUUCUGUCUCUCAUUCACCCUAGUAGAAACCAGCUGUCCUGUUUUGAACAGUCCUAUGAAGAAAGCCAUGUGAAAAUGAACUGAGGCCUCCCACUAAAGCCACUUGAAUGGCUUGUGACCAGGUCCUCUUACCCAGCCAUGCCUUCGAUGGCUAUGGCUCCAGGCAACAGCUUGAUGGAAACUUCACAAGAAACCCAGUGAAGAAGAACCAGAACCACUAUCUAAGUUGCUCCCAUAUUCCUGGCCCUCAGAAACAAUAUGAGAUAGUAGAUGUUUGUUAUUUUAAGAUGCUGUGUUUUGGGGUAAUUUUUUAUGUAGCAGUGUAUAACCAGUUUAUUUGCUAAUAAGUAUUGGUGAAUGUUGUUAAAAAGAGCAAGAAUAAAGCAAUUCCCUUUCUCUUCUUGGAUUUUUAGCCAAGGUAUUUUGUUGUUAUUAGGAUAGACACCUGGGUGGUAAUUCUUAUAUGAAGCCAAACACCUGGGCUUUUUCACCAUCACAAAAGGCCUCUCAAAUACAACCGAGAGAAAGUAAUGAUCUCAUUUACUGGGGCAAAUAUUUGUGCUAAUUAGUAGCAUGUUGAAAUAUAGCAUGUCAAACAAUAAACUAUUUGUACUUAAUCUUCCAACACAUUUUCUUAUAGAAAGAACAUGAUGCCAAAGAAAUGAACAUUAAACCACUAUGUACAGUCAGCCCUAUUUCCUAGCUUUGUAUUUCAACCUCUAAUUCUUAACUGAUAAAACUUCUAUUUUGGUUGAAAAUAAGAUUCUUCAGUUAAUAUCAACAAUAUUCAAACAUGAAUUAAAAAUACAUGAUACUAUCUAGAAAAUAUUUUAUUUAUAUGGGCUUCUAAGAUAUUCAGAAGAUUUUUAAAGUGCAGAAUCACUCAAGAUUCCAUAAUUUUUGUACUCAAAGAUACUUCUAUGCAAUGUUUAUAUUGUGAAUAAUUAGUAAAAUGCCAUAAAUUAGAAACAUAAUAAGCAUAUACACUAAUUCACUAAUUCUUCAGUUUAUGCUAAUCUGUUCACCCAUAUUGGACUAUUCACCAAAUAUUUAUAGAAUAGUAAUUGUUAUUUGGUCAACAGUAAGAAUCUUGAAUUGCAAAAUCUCAAAGUAUGGUGUGAACUUAGAGUAUGAACAAGGAUAUUUAGUCCCUUUGCCUCCUGGAAAACAACUGUAAUAAAUU
RNAcentral lists this long non-coding RNA (6041 nucleotides) under Sus scrofa (pig). RNAcentral describes it as "lncRNA (ENSSSCG00025002043.1)". Lineage: Eukaryota; Metazoa; Chordata; Mammalia; Artiodactyla; Suidae. The record is from RNAcentral.